Molecule: transfer RNA, 77 nt
Filed under: Bradyrhizobium sp.
Lineage: Bacteria; Pseudomonadati; Pseudomonadota; Alphaproteobacteria; Hyphomicrobiales; Nitrobacteraceae
Description: tRNA-Leu
Rfam family: tRNA
About the family: Transfer RNA (tRNA) molecules are approximately 80 nucleotides in length. Their secondary structure includes four short double-helical elements and three loops (D, anti-codon, and T loops).
Source: RNAcentral
GCCUGACUAGCCCAACGGCAGAGGCCGCUUGCUCAAAACAAGCCACAGUGCAGGUUCAAAUCCCGCGUCAGGCACCA